This is a small nuclear RNA of Argiope bruennichi, 107 nucleotides long. The record is from RefSeq and is a predicted model, not a curated record. Lineage: Eukaryota; Metazoa; Arthropoda; Arachnida; Araneae; Araneidae.
GUACUCGCCUCAGCAGUACAUAUACUAAAAUUGGAAUGAUAUGGAGAAGAUUAACAAGGCCCCGACGCAAAGAUGGCUAAAUAAACCGGGAUUUAGAAACAUUUUUC